AGAGUUUGAUCAUGGCUCAGGAUGAACGCUAGCUACAGGCUUAACACAUGCAAGUCGAGGGGAAACGACAUCGAAAGCUUGCUUUUGAUGGGCGUCGACCGGCGCACGGGUGAGUAACGCGUAUCCAACCUGCCCAUCACUUGGGGAUAACCUUGCGAAAGUAAGACUAAUACCCAAUGAUAUCUCUAGAAGGCAUCUGAAAGAGAUUAAAGAUUUAUCGGUGAUGGGAUGGGGAUGCGUCUGAUUAGCUUGUUGGCGGGUAACGGCCACCAAAGCAACGAUCAGUAGGGGUUCUGAGACGGAAGGUCCCCCACAUUGGAACUGAGACACGGUCCAAACUCCUACGGAGGCA
This 352-nucleotide ribosomal RNA is filed under the name uncultured bacterium. Its description in RNAcentral is "bacterial SSU rRNA". It matches the Rfam family "Bacterial small subunit ribosomal RNA", at positions 8 to 350 of the family's 1533-position model. The record is from RNAcentral.